RNAcentral lists this ribosomal RNA (498 nucleotides) under uncultured bacterium. Its description in RNAcentral is "partial 16S ribosomal RNA". It matches the Rfam family "Bacterial small subunit ribosomal RNA", at positions 30 to 523 of the family's 1533-position model. The record is from RNAcentral.
AUUGAACGCUGGCGGCAUGCCUUACACAUGCAAGUCGAACGGUAACAGGUCUUCGGAUGCUGACGAGUGGCGAACGGGUGAGUAAUACAUCGGAACGUGCCUAGUAGUGGGGGAUAACUACUCGAAAGAGUGGCUAAUACCGCAUGAGGUCUACGGAUGCAAGCCGGGGAUCGCAAGACCUUGUGCUACUAGAGCGGCCGGUGGCAGAUUAGGUAGUUGGUGGGCUAAAAGUUUACCAAGCCGACGAUCUGUAGCUGGUCUGAGAGGACGAUGAGCCACACUGGGACUGGGACACGGCCCAGACUCCGACGGGAGGCAGCAGGGGGGAAUUCUGGACAAUGGGCGCAAGCCGGAUCCAGCAAUGCCGCGUGCAGGAUGAAGGCCGUCGGGUUGUAAACUGCUUUGGUACGGAACGAAAAGGCCCGGGUUAAUACCCUGGGGUCAUGACGGUACCGUAAGAAUAAGCACCGGCUAACUACGUGCCAGCCGCCGCUGUAA